RNAcentral lists this ribosomal RNA (627 nucleotides) under Triticum aestivum (bread wheat). RNAcentral's name for it is "partial small subunit ribosomal RNA". Lineage: Eukaryota; Viridiplantae; Streptophyta; Magnoliopsida; Poales; Poaceae. The record is from RNAcentral.
AUGGCUAAUCUGGCAGCAGGUGGCUACGUGUUCCAACCCACCGGCUGUGAGCUCGUCGGCUACUACCUCAUGCCCAGGGCGGAGCUCGGUGGCUUCUUCCUCCCCGGCGUCAUCGCGGAGGACGUGGACGUCUUGUCCUUGCGCCCACGCGUGCUCUCCUUCCCGAAAAACCACAGGAGGGAUUACGGCGAGGUAUGGGGCUUCUUCUUCGCGGCAAAGCCCGCCGGCGAGACGUGCCCAACGCCGGGCGCGGGCGGGUGCUGGGAGCAGUACGGCCAGGAGAAGGCAUACUACGACGGCGAGGGCAGUCGGGAGGCAGUGGCCUUGCUGCUAACACGGUGCAGGUUCGCGUACCGCUACUCGUGGAGGGACGGGGAGGUAAUAUCGCAGACGCGCUGGCGGAUGAAGGAGUACUGGCUCAACAGAAACGCGGCCGCCUUCCGCCACGCGCACCCGGGCCCCGUGCCGCCGGACGUCGUCUUCGUAGUCCACAAGGUCUACAGGAAGCCGCUGAUCCCUCCGCCAUUGCCGCCCGACAGCAACUCCAGCGAGGACGAGGGCUCCGAGAGCUACAUCGUGUACCCGCAACUCGAUGAGAUCAUGCGGCGGUUAACGCUGGGGAACUAG